This 82-nucleotide transfer RNA is filed under the name Echinostoma caproni. It matches the Rfam family "tRNA". From Rfam's summary of the family: Transfer RNA (tRNA) molecules are approximately 80 nucleotides in length. Their secondary structure includes four short double-helical elements and three loops (D, anti-codon, and T loops). Lineage: Eukaryota; Metazoa; Platyhelminthes; Trematoda; Plagiorchiida; Echinostomatidae. The record is from Rfam by way of RNAcentral.
GGCCUCGUAGCUCAGCUGGUGGAGCAAAUGCGCUCAAAGCGUAAGCCGCAUCCAUGCGUGGGUUCGAAUCCCACCGAGGCUU